CAUAUACUCCCUCCGUCCGGAAAUACUUGUCAACGAAAUGAACAAAAGAGGAUGUAUCUAGACGUAUAUUAGUUCUAGAUACAUCCCUUUUUAUUCAUUUUGAUGACAAGUAUUUUCGGACGGAGGGAGUACAUU
Molecule: non-coding RNA, 135 nt
Organism: Triticum aestivum (bread wheat)
Lineage: Eukaryota; Viridiplantae; Streptophyta; Magnoliopsida; Poales; Poaceae
Source: Rfam